This 969-nucleotide ribosomal RNA is filed under the name Prosopocoilus pseudodissimilis. RNAcentral's name for it is "partial 16S ribosomal RNA". The stretch from base 411 to 658 matches the Rfam family "Archaeal large subunit ribosomal RNA", at positions 1784 to 2143 of the family's 2987-position model. Lineage: Eukaryota; Metazoa; Arthropoda; Insecta; Coleoptera; Lucanidae. The record is from RNAcentral.
GGACUUAGGAUUUAAGAUUUCUCGAAUUUUAUAGGGCUAAGAAGGUAUAUAUUUUAUUGUGGAAUAACUAUUUGGAAUACCUUUUUUGUAAUGAAACAUUAGUCGUUUUUGAAUAUAUCUAGUUUCUUAAGAAAUUAAUUUAAUUAAGCCAUUUCGUAAUAUGUUUUUUUAUAAAAUUUUUUUUGGGGAUGGGUAAUAUUUAAAGGGAUAAGCUUUUAAAUAAAUUAUUAAAAUAUUUUUUAGUUUAAGAUUAAAUAGGAAUAGAAGUUUUCAUUUUAUGCAGUGAGUUGUAUCAGGAUUUUAAUUUAAGGGAUUUUUGGGUAUUUAAGUUUUUUAUUAAGAAAAGGAAUUUAAUUUUGAGUUUUCAGGUAUAAUGAUGAAAUUAGUAUAUUUUAGUGUAAUUGUAAUUUUUACUUGGGAGAUUAGGUUAAGGAAUUCGGCAAAUUUGUUCUCUGCCUGUUUAUUAAAAACAUGGCCUUUUGAUUAUAAUUUAAGGUCUGGCCUGCCCAAUGAUGGAUUUAAUGGCCGCGGUACUCUGACCGUGCAAAGGUAGCAUAAUCAUUAGUUUUUUAAUUGAAAGCUGGAAUGAACGGUCGGACAAGGGAAAUGCUGUCUUUACUUGAUUAGUAGAAUUUUAUUUUUUAGUCAGAAAGCUUAAAUGAGUUUGAGGGACGAGAAGACCCUAUAGAAUUUUAUAAGUAAUUUUUGGGUUUAUUUUAGGAUUGAUUGAGUUUAUCGGGGAAGUACUUAUUUUGUUGGGGUGAUGGAAAAAUUUAAGAAACUUUUUUUACUGAGUUACACUGAUUUGUGUAUUAUUGAUCCACAGAUUGUGAUUACAAGAUUAAAUUACCUUAGGGAUAACAGCGUUAUUAGUUUGGAGAGUUCUUAUCGAUAGACUAGUUUGCGACCUCGAUGUUGGAUUAAAAUAAACUUAUGGUGUAGGGGCUAUGAAGUUAAGUCUGUUCGACU